AGUGAACGCUGGCGGUAGGCCUAACACAUGCAAGUCGAACGGCAGCACAGUAAGAUCUUGCUCUUACGGGUGGCGAGUGGCGGACGGGUGAGGAAUACAUCGGAAUCUACUUUUUCGUGGGGGAUAACGGAGGGAAACUUACGCUAAUACCGCAUACGACCUACGGGUGAAAGCAGGGGAUCUUCGGACCUUGCGCGUUUCAAUGAGCCGAUGUCGGAUUAGCUAGUUGGCGGGGUAAAGGCCCACCAAGGCGACGAUGCGUAGCUGGUCUGAGAGGAUGAUCAGCCACGCUGGAACUGAGACACGGUCCAGACUCCUACGGGAGGCAGCAGUGGGGAAUAUUGGACAAUGGGCGCAAGCCUGAUCCAGCCAUACCGCGUGGGUGAAGAAGGCCUUCGGGUUGUAAAGCCCUUUUGUUGGGAAAGAAAAGCAGCAGGAUAAUACCCCGCUGUUCUGACGGUACCCAAAGAAUAAGCACCGGCUAACUUCGUG
This 492-nucleotide ribosomal RNA is filed under the name uncultured bacterium. Its description in RNAcentral is "partial 16S ribosomal RNA". It matches the Rfam family "Bacterial small subunit ribosomal RNA", at positions 29 to 507 of the family's 1533-position model. The record is from RNAcentral.